RNAcentral lists this ribosomal RNA (370 nucleotides) under uncultured cyanobacterium. Its description in RNAcentral is "bacterial SSU rRNA". It matches the Rfam family "Bacterial small subunit ribosomal RNA", at positions 360 to 745 of the family's 1533-position model. Lineage: Bacteria; Bacillati; Cyanobacteriota. The record is from RNAcentral.
AAUUUUUCGCAAUGGGCGAAAGCCUGACGGAGCAAUACCGCGUGGGGGAAGAAGGUUUUUGGAUUGUAAACCCCUUUUCUCAGGGAAGAAGAACUGACGGUACCUGAGGAAUAAGCAUCGGCUAACUCCGUGCCAGCAGCCGCGGUAAGACGGAGGAUGCAAGCGUUAUCCGGAAUUAUUGGGCGUAAAGCGUCCGCAGGUGGUUUCACAAGUCUGCUGUUAAAGACUGGGGCUUAACUCCAGAGCGGCGGUGGAAACUGUGAGACUAGAGUGUGGUAGGGGCAGAGGGAAUUCCAGGUGUAGCGGUGAAAUGCGUAGAUAUCUGGAAGAACACCAGUGGCGAAGGCGCUCUGCUGGGCCAUAACUGACA